Cervus elaphus (red deer) is the source of this 164-nucleotide long non-coding RNA. RefSeq lists it as uncharacterized. The transcript has 3 exons. Lineage: Eukaryota; Metazoa; Chordata; Mammalia; Artiodactyla; Cervidae. The record is from RefSeq and is a predicted model, not a curated record.
UCUAACAGGGGAGCCUCAGCUGGUCGGGGGACCGCAGGUCGUGUAGGUGAGGCUGGGCCCUUCCUGCUGGGGAAAAGCAGAAGAGCAAGAGUCAGCGCAGGUGCAGAGCGGCAGGCGGGUUCACUGGGUGAGUGUGGGGGGGGCCCUGCCGGGACAACUCAGAG